CCCUUAGAUGUCCUGGGCCGCACGCGCGUUACACUGAUGCACUCAACGAGUAUAUAACCUUGGCCGAGAGGCCUGGGUAAUCUUGUUAACUUGCAUCGUGAUAGGGAUAGAUUAUUGCAAUUAUUAAUCUUGAACGAGGAAUUCCUAGUAAUCGCAGUUCAUCAAACUGCAGUGAUUACGUCCCUGCCCUUUGUACACACCGCCCGUCGCACCUACCGAUUGAAUGGUCCGGUGAAGACUCGAGAUUGUGGUCUAGCUCCCUCAUUGGGGCUUGACCGCGAGAACCUGUCUAAACCUUAUCAUUUAGAGGAAGGUGAAGUCGUAACA
Molecule: ribosomal RNA, 327 nt
Filed under: uncultured eukaryote
Lineage: Eukaryota
Description: partial 18S ribosomal RNA
Rfam family: Eukaryotic small subunit ribosomal RNA
Source: RNAcentral